RNAcentral lists this ribosomal RNA (467 nucleotides) under uncultured bacterium. Its description in RNAcentral is "partial 16S ribosomal RNA". It matches the Rfam family "Bacterial small subunit ribosomal RNA", at positions 29 to 507 of the family's 1533-position model. The record is from RNAcentral.
AUGAACGCUGGCGGCUUGCUUAACACAUGCAAGUCGAACGGUGAAGGCGGAGCUUGCUCUGCUGGAUCAGUGGCGAACGGGUGAGUAACACGUGAGCAAUCUGCCCCUGACUCUGGGAUAAGCGCUGGAAACGGCGUCUAAUACUGGAUACGAGCUGCGAAGGCAUCUUCAGCAGCUGGAAAGAAUUUCGGUCAGGGAUGAGCUCGCGGCCUAUCAGCUUGUUGGUGAGGUAAUGGCUCACCAAGGCGUCGACGGGUAGCCGGCCUGAGAGGGUGACCGGCCACACUGGGACUGAGACACGGCCCAGACUCCUACGGGAGGCAGCAGUGGGGAAUAUUGCACAAUGGGCGAAAGCCUGAUGCAGCAACGCCGCGUGAGGGACGACGGCCUUCGGGUUGUAAACCUCUUUUAGCAGGGAAGAAGCGAAAGUGACGGUACCUGCAGAAAAAGCGCCGGCUAACUACGUG